This 253-nucleotide ribosomal RNA is filed under the name uncultured bacterium. Its description in RNAcentral is "partial 16S ribosomal RNA". It matches the Rfam family "Bacterial small subunit ribosomal RNA", at positions 524 to 776 of the family's 1533-position model. The record is from RNAcentral.
UACGUAGGGGGCAAGCGUUAUCCGGAUUCAUUGGGCGUAAAGCGCGCGUAGGCGGCUUGUUAAGUCAGGUGUGAAAACCGGGGGCUCAACCCGCGGCCUGCACCUGAAACUGGCAGGCUUGAGUCUGGUAGAGGGAAGUGGAAUUCCGAGUGUAGCGGUGAAAUGCGCAGAUAUUCGGAAGAACACCAGUGGCGAAGGCGGCUUCCUGGGCCACGACUGACGCUGAGGCGCGAAAGCUAGGGGAGCGAACAGG